This 504-nucleotide ribosomal RNA is filed under the name uncultured bacterium. RNAcentral describes it as "bacterial SSU rRNA". It matches the Rfam family "Bacterial small subunit ribosomal RNA", at positions 107 to 607 of the family's 1533-position model. The record is from RNAcentral.
UGAGUAAUGUCUGGGAAACUGCCCGAUGGAGGGGGAUAACUACUGGAAACGGUAGCUAAUACCGCAUAACGUCGCAAGACCAAAGUGGGGGACCUUCGGGCCUCACACCAUCGGAUGUGCCCAGAUGGGAUUAGCUAGUAGGUGGGGUAAUGGCUCACCUAGGCGACGAUCCCUAGCUGGUCUGAGAGGAUGACCAGCCACACCGGAACUGAGACACGGUCCAGACUCCUACGGGAGGCAGCAGUGGGGAAUAUUGCACAAUGGGCGCAAGCCUGAUGCAGCCAUGCCGCGUGUAUGAAGAAGGCCUUCGGGUUGUAAAGUACUUUCAGCGGGGAGGAAGGCGGUGGAGUUAAUAGCUUCACCGAUUGACGUUACCCGCAGAAGAAGCACCGGCUAACUCCGUGCCAGCAGCCGCGGUAAUACGGAGGGUGCAAGCGUUAAUCGGAAUUACUGGGCGUAAAGCGCACGCAGGCGGUCUGUCAAGUCGGAUGUGAAAUCCCCGGG